UUUUUCUUUUCUUUUUUUUUUUUUUUUAACAUAAAUGCUAAUCUCCACGACCUUUUCCUGGGAGAUGCUGGCAGACAGGAGGAGUGCUACUCUGAAUGACUCUAGCCCAGACCUGAUAAAGCAGAAUCUUUAAAAACAGGGCCUAGGAAUCCGGAUUUAAAAAAUUCCUCCAGGAGAUUUUGGUGGAAUCAAACCACUAAAGUUUGAAAAGUAUUGGACUAUGGAAUGGGGUUUGUACUAUUCUAAAAAAUGCAGAUGAGGGGUUUUCAUUUUUAUUUGGCCCUUCAAAGCUUUCUUUUCAUGGAAGACUCUGGAUCAUUUGAGAUGAAAUCACUAUAGUACCUAGUGACCUGUCCACUUGGUAAAUUUACCAUUUCUCAAUAAUUGGUCCCAAACAGCAAAUGCAAUAAACAAGGGCUCUUUCUCUCCCUUCUGUGUUAUGGUUUCCAUUGGGACUAAAGCUGAGAUAGGAAAAGGAGGGUUAUUCAUUUGCCCUCCGGCUCUUUUAUUUCGCACACUCAAAAAUAGAUACGGAAAAGAGGCAAGUGGUUGUGGCGUGAGCCUUAGGAGCCACCUAUGCAGGACGGCUCCCAAGACCCCACGAUGCUGCCAUACCAGGCUGGUGUGGUGAUUUUAAACAAGCCUAGUGGGAAGCAGCUGAGCCAGUAUAGGAACUGGCUCCUUGACAGUCUUUGAAAGCGGGAUCCAGCCCACAGCCAGUUAAUUCUGCAUCCAGGUGCUGAGGUACGGUUUGCGACACUAGAGGGCAGCAGAGGGUCAGGUGUCUCUGCAGGUGGCUGGGGAGGUGGACACCACCCAGGGAGGGGCUUGCAGCCUAGGGUGGCAAGGCAACGUCAGAAAAGGUGGCAGUGACAAAGAAGAGCCAAGGACACCGUCAAAACACAAGCCUCAGGGGCCAGUUGUGGAAAUAUCAUUCCCCUCAAGGGAAAUAAUAGAAUCCAGAACAAGAGCCACAAGAAGCCCGGAUGGUGUUGGAACGCAGAGAGGAUGAGAGCCAAAGUGAAGACCAGGCCAGAGGUACAGGGGUAACUCCCACCCUUGGGGGGGACACACAGCGAUCUGGGGCUGGUCUCUAUAGGAAACGUGGCUCUAAGAGCAUGCCCAGCCCCUUGCACUGCAACAGUCUAAAUUUACCCUUAUCUUGGUUUUCUCUCCAACAGUAGGCUCUGCUCCCACUGCUGACUCAUCUAUUUCAUGACAAGAAGUCUAAGGACUUAGUGACACAGCUCUUUAGCAGAUCUGAAAUGGAGAGCAGCUUCAGAAUGGCUGUGCUGCCCAAGGCUGCACUUCUGUGACAGACCCUUUGGAGCCCAUCACCCUCCAGUGCAGCAGUCCAUCAGCACGGGGGAGAUGUGUGUACUCCUCCUACCACUCACCGGUGGGCCCUCUGGCUCUCAUCGCCCUGCUCUCCCAAGGUUGCACAUUUCUGCAGAGCGCCUUGGAAACGGAGCCACAGUUUCCCUUAAUCUUGACCCCAAAGAGAAGAUGAUCUUGACCUACAUUGGGACCCGCCCCUCUGCCUGCCACUGGCCUGGAGCAGCCCAUGCCGGUGCAGCCUCGGAAGGGCAGGGAGAUGAGAGUCAGAAGGCCUGCCAGUGAGUGAUAGGUGGAGGGCACCUCUCCUGUGCUGAUGUAUUGCUGUGCUGUAGUGUGAUGGGUUCCACAGUUAGAGAUGUGGCCUUGGGCAGCACAGCCAUUCUGAGCCUUGUGAAAGGGAAGAUAAUUUUUGUGCUGGCCCUAAGGUGCCCAGAGCUCUAGCAAACACUCUCUCCUGUUUUCUCUCCCACUCCCCUCGACAGCUGCAUAAUAUUGUAAUAAGCAAA
This is a long non-coding RNA of Macaca fascicularis (crab-eating macaque), 1844 nucleotides long. NCBI's taxonomy places the organism in Eukaryota, Metazoa, Chordata, Mammalia, Primates, Cercopithecidae. The record is from Ensembl.